RNAcentral lists this transfer RNA (93 nucleotides) under Tsukamurella sp. PLM1. RNAcentral's name for it is "tRNA-Ala". Lineage: Bacteria; Bacillati; Actinomycetota; Actinomycetes; Mycobacteriales; Tsukamurellaceae. The record is from RNAcentral.
CUGCGCAUCGACGACGUGGUCUCGCUCGGUGCCCGCAUCACCGAUCGGAUCACCCGGGCCGGCGUGGAUCUGUUCGACGUGGAGUGCGUGGUC